AGAGCUAUUAAGGAGGUAAAAUUGGCAGGUCAUGGUAAUUAAUUAGAUGUGAGGGGUGAGUGAGAGGGAGAGGGAGGAGUGAAGGUUUCUAGCUUGAGAGCCUGGCUGGAUGGUGGGCUUGCCCCUUGAUAAAUGAAACUGGCAGAAGAGUGGCCUCCCCCAGGUUAACAGCUACCACCCUCAGGAAGCCGUGCCUGGUUCUUGCCAGCUGGAAGUCAUCACCCCUCUUCUGAUCGGUCCUUGCACAGCAUCUCCCUCGAGCUCCAGCAGCGGGAACCCAGCUACACCUGGUCAUCCCCUUUCUUCCUGCUUAGCACAGCCUGGCAACGAGGGCGAAGGAAGCAGGUCUCCCAGUGGCCCGGCUGGUAUUUGGGGUUCAAGCCCAGCACAGUCCCACAUCUGGAUCCCGUUAGCUUGCCGCGUUCCUUCUUGGCCAGGAAGAAUGUGUGCAACGCCGGAGGAGCUGCUGGACUGCGGGCUUGCUGCUCCGACUAGGCUAUCAAAGCAGAGUGGCGGGCAGCCGGCCCCUGGGGAGGGGCUUCCCCGGCUCUCCAUCAUCGCGCCGCCGCCGCCACCGGUAGCUCCGGGGUGGAGCAGGGCCCUUUCAGCAGGCGCUCGCUGCUGCAUAGGAGCGAGCCAGGCGGUUGGGCUGCGCCCGGGCAGGCCCGCUGCUUCUGAUUAAAGGCUCACCCACUGCUCCUGCCCCACCACCCUUCCCCCGCAGCCAGCCGGAGCAGACAGGAGCCGCCCAGAUGCUCCCCCAAAUCCCAGGCUGUGGAUGGGGAAGGGGCCCUCCACCCCUAGUCAGGACAGGCGGAGCUGACCUCUGCAGAACUCUACCGGCUUUGGAAAGAGGGGACCGGUUUUCUCCUUCCAAAUCUUUUUAGGGUCCCCUCUCUGAAGAGCUGCAGCCGUAACCAGCCUUAGUUAGAGGCAGUUAUUAAAAAACAAUACCGAGGCCUGUGCAGUCUUUUACAGCCCAGCACAGUGACUAAGAAUGAAGGUUCUGGAGCCAGGUUUCCUGGGUUUAAAUCUGGGCUCUGCUACUUCUUAGUCCUGUGACUUGGGGCAAGUUACUUAGUCUCUCUGUGCCUUAGGUCUCCCUCAAACCCUCAGUGAAAUCUCAAGAACAAUAGGUCCCUAGGUAACAGCACUGCUGUGAGCCUUAAAUGAGUUAACACUCAUAAAGUGCUUAGAAUAGUGCCUGGCCCAUCGGAGUGCCCAGUAAAUUAUUAUUGUUACAAAGUUUGUUUACAUCCAUUGACUCGUUGGAGCCUGGAGCAACCCUGUGACCUGGGGAUUGCCCAGGAAAACUAGAGAGGAGAAGGCCUUACCCCAAGUCACACAGCCAUAGGGGCAGGG
Molecule: long non-coding RNA, 1362 nt
Filed under: Equus caballus (horse)
Lineage: Eukaryota; Metazoa; Chordata; Mammalia; Perissodactyla; Equidae
Description: lncRNA (ENSECAG00000060280.1)
Source: RNAcentral